RNAcentral lists this long non-coding RNA (1215 nucleotides) under Monodelphis domestica (gray short-tailed opossum). RNAcentral's name for it is "lncRNA (ENSMODG00000046437.1)". The record is from RNAcentral. Lineage: Eukaryota; Metazoa; Chordata; Mammalia; Didelphimorphia; Didelphidae.
AUGAAAAUCAAAUAUUUGGAAAAAUCUUAUUCGACCCUUACUGUCAACUGGAAGGAAGAGAGUCUGCUUAAGAAAAAACUCAGUCUUUUGGAGAACUUGAAAAAACAUGAAGCCAGAACCUGGCUGAUGGAGCAGAAAGCUGUGUACAGGCAAUAUUGCAAGAAGCUUUGGAGGUCCGAAUUGGCUCAUGCUAGGUUGCUAGGCAACCAGGACCUGGUCAGACGGCUCACCAAGGACAAGUUCUUUAGCUCCUAUAGCUCUGUGAUGGCAGGUGGUGAACCAGUGCAGAGCAGGAGAGACAAGAGGAAGACUCCCAUUCCAGGCUAUGAUGGCUCCAACAGGGAUGACUUCUCUCCUGCUACCAAUGGCAGUUUGUUGGUAGAGAAGGGAAGCAAGAAACAUCAAAACAGGUCUUUGGAAGCUUCAAAGAGAAAGUUAAAUCUCGAUGCAAAGCAAAGCAGCUUGGAAAGGAAUAUGGAAAGAAGGAAGUUAUCAGCCCGUCAGGAAUGGGGUAGUUUGGACAAACAACUUCAAUUUUAUCUACUGAGGGGUAAAGAACAGGAGGGACAGGAACAAAAAUCCAUCUCUGCCAAUUAUAGAUCUCAUUUUAAUCAAAGGCUGCCAAGUUCUUCAAAUCAGCAGCAUCUGGCUACCACCCAUGUUGGGUGGGAUAAGCCAGUUGACGGACAGGACACAGCCAGUGGCAGACCAAAAAACAAGUUUCUGGGACAUCUAUGUUACAGUGGUAGAAGAGAAAGUGGCUACCUAGCCAAAUCAAGAUUCAGCUCAAAAAAAGUCUUGUUGGGUCAGGAAGAGGAAACAUACACAUCCUUGCAGGCUGAAAUUCAGUCCAUGAUGAAUCAAACACCACAUUUUAAAGAGAAAGUCAAGCACUACCUUCGGAAAGUGGUGAUUCCACCAUGGCAUGCUCCUCUCCCAGAAGACCAUUACACCAAAGGGCCCCAAGGGAAGGGUGGAAAAGAUUCCUGUUAUGUCUGGGAUUCAAAGGCUGAUAUAGAGCAAGAGUGGAGGAAAUGGCUUCUGGUGGGACCAGAAUCUAGUUCACGAAGCAUUACCUUAAAGAAGCUAGAUUGGUGUUUUGCUCAAAAGGCUGCUACUCCAGAAAUCCUUUUCCUGGAGAAUUACAAUGCAAUCCUCACCAAAGAAAGUCUGAUAGAUAACAACCGUUACUGCUCAACUACCAAACUGUCCUAA